RNAcentral lists this long non-coding RNA (204 nucleotides) under Elaeis guineensis (African oil palm). RNAcentral's name for it is "long non-coding RNA (EGUI_LNC004138)". Lineage: Eukaryota; Viridiplantae; Streptophyta; Magnoliopsida; Arecales; Arecaceae. The record is from RNAcentral.
CCUCAGCCCAAUAGAGUUGCUAUCUUUGUUGAACUCCUCCACUCGUAGCAUGGGCAAGCCGAUCUCAAGAGGUAUGACGGCUUCAGUCUCGAAAGUCAGCUUGAAGGGAGUCUCUCCGAUUGAAAUCUACAGAGUUGUGCGAUACAUCCAGAGCACAUGGUAUAGUUCUUCAACCUAUAAUCCUUUAGCGUGAUCCACCCAAGC